GACGAACGCUGGCGGCGUGCUUAACACAUGCAAGUCGAACGGAAAGGCCCUGCUUUUGUGGGGUGCUCGAGUGGCGAACGGGUGAGUAACACGUGAGUAACCUGCCCUUGACUUUGGGAUAACUUCAGGAAACUGGGGCUAAUACCGGAUAGGAGCUCCUGCUGCAUGGUGGGGGUUGGAAAGUUUCGGCGGUUGGGGAUGGACUCGCGGCUUAUCAGCUUGUUGGUGGGGUAGUGGCUCACCAAGGCUUUGACGGGUAGCCGGCCUGAGAGGGUGACCGGCCACAUUGGGACUGAGAUACGGCCCAGACUCUUACGGGAGGCAGCAGUGGGGAAUAUUGCACAAUGGGCGGAAGCCUGAUGCAGCAACGCCGCGUGCGGGAUGACGGCCUUCGGGUUGUAAACCGCUUUCGCCUGUGACGAAGCGUGAGUGACGGUAAUGGGUAAAGAAGCACCGGCUAACUACGUG
RNAcentral lists this ribosomal RNA (468 nucleotides) under uncultured bacterium. RNAcentral's name for it is "partial 16S ribosomal RNA". It matches the Rfam family "Bacterial small subunit ribosomal RNA", at positions 28 to 507 of the family's 1533-position model. The record is from RNAcentral.